RNAcentral lists this long non-coding RNA (418 nucleotides) under Homo sapiens (human). RNAcentral describes it as "HSALNT0371243". Lineage: Eukaryota; Metazoa; Chordata; Mammalia; Primates; Hominidae. The record is from RNAcentral.
AUUGCUCCUGCCAUCACCCAGAUUAAAGACCUGCCCUCUCAUCCGUCAGGGAUUGAGUGGGCAAGCACUGUGGGCUGCAGACACCAAGCUCCACCAUGAUUCCCCCUCCACUCUCAGAGGCUCCAUCCAGCUGGCAGGCUCACAGCACUGCAGCCCAGCAUCUGAAGUGGUACUGUCCCUAGGCUGAUGACUGUCACAUUUUUAGUGGGGCCAAAACUUUCCUCCAAGAUUCAGAUGUGUGUCACCAACUAGAGAGCAGGCUUGGAAUUUAAAAAUAAAGUUUUCAGUAAGUUGAGAUGUUUUGCUUCGCAUAGACAAAUUAUCACUUUGACAGAAAUAUUUUGCUUACUCAAACCUUUGUAUUGCUAGAAAAAGAGAUUUUUAAAAAAUCCCAGUAAAGUCAAGAAGAAAGAAAAAA